Molecule: long non-coding RNA, 1115 nt
Organism: Engraulis encrasicolus (European anchovy)
Lineage: Eukaryota; Metazoa; Chordata; Actinopteri; Clupeiformes; Engraulidae
Exons: 6
Source: RefSeq, a predicted model, not a curated record
UUUUAUGACCAUGGUAGGAAUUUGAAGUGGCCCUUCGAAUGAAAAAGGUUCCCCACCCCUGCAUUAAACCUUUCUUCUAGCCACAGCUCUGCUGUCAGUACAUUUUAUUAUGAUACUAUAAGCUCAGAAAUGAAGUUGAUCAAACAAUUCGAUCGGUGCUAUAAACAUUUAAAUGAACCGAAUAGAAAUCAGAAUAGAAACAUCUGAAUGAUCUUUCUUGGACAUAGCCUACAUUUUGAAGUGACCCUUUGAAUUAAAAAGGUUCCUCACCCCUGCUUUUGAGGAAAAACAUCAAUGUGCUUGGCCACUCUGGUUUUUAAAUUAUUCUGAACUAGCAAGGAUUGUUCAAGGAAGUUCAAAACAGACUGUCUCUGGUUAAAUUAGUUCUACACCAAGCCUUUAGGUGGCAGUACAACUAAUUCGCACAAUGCGAAUUCCACACACAAGCCACAAAGAAGAAGCCAUCUACCGCGGUCAACAACACCGACCUAUCUGAACAACACCACGCGCUGUCUGUGUGGUUUCACUGUUACAAGUUUCUUGGCGAUAUGGGGGAAAGUUCCUCACAUACCAACGGAAAAUGGGCUUCACAUACAUGCUGCUGUCUCAUAAUAUGGCGAAGACGAGUCACUUGAAGGCCUAACAGCUCUUAUGAGGAGCAGUCUUGCCAUAGAAGACUGAAAGAAUGAGCUGUAGAAACAACAGGGUGCCUGCUGCAGUAUGACGAGGACGCCCUGAUCAUAGAAGGUCCAGUGUCUUGGCAGGGUGAAAUGGCACUGAUAUCGUGUCCUGCAGGAUGCUGUGUCCUGCAAUCCUGUGUGCUGUGCUACAGACGCGUGUGGAGGUCAACCCGAAAUGGGCACAGUAGAGUGAAAGAGGAUCCUGGCAGGGAGACGGUAGUGUCCUGCAGGAUGGUGAUGGGCAAUCUUAUAAGAGACCACAGAAAACUGAUAUAGUCUCCCAGAAGUGAGACUGAGUGCCUGUUGCAGUAUGACGAGGAAGCAGUGACCAGAGACCUUCAGUAGACCCUGCUGGCAUGAUUGGCGGCUGAAGAACAUAAUCAACAGCAAUGUUUACUUUAUAAUAUUGUACAUACCUGUAUAGUCUGCACUAAA